AUACAUAAAAUGAUUAAUGUGAGCCAUAUCUACGUGCAUUGCUGAAGAGUUGACAACCUUAAACACUCUGCAGAUCCGAUCUCCAAAAUCCCAGUUUAAUAUCCGCUGGGCUUUACCUUCAGUACUUGCCUCUAUAGUGGCCUUGCAUGACUCUGUUUACGUCUGUUCCAUCAAGCAUUAUAUCAACACCAUCAACUUUGAUCAUCUUCAAAUUUGGCGUGUUCGAGUCUCCAUCAGAAGCCACAA
Molecule: unclassified non-coding RNA, 246 nt
Filed under: Hevea brasiliensis (rubber tree)
Lineage: Eukaryota; Viridiplantae; Streptophyta; Magnoliopsida; Malpighiales; Euphorbiaceae
Source: RNAcentral